AUUCCAUGAUGGGGACAUUCUAGGAUGUAGUCUUGGAAGCGCUCCCAAGCUUCUGGAACGGAUUCAUCAUGUUGUUGCUUGUCACACCCCAAAAUUCCUUCUUUGGGAU
RNAcentral lists this small nucleolar RNA (109 nucleotides) under Sorghum bicolor (sorghum). RNAcentral's name for it is "Plant small nucleolar RNA R71". It matches the Rfam family "Plant small nucleolar RNA R71". From Rfam's summary of the family: R71 is a member of the C/D box family of snoRNAs containing the C (UGAUGA) and D (CUGA) box motifs. The record is from Rfam by way of RNAcentral. Lineage: Eukaryota; Viridiplantae; Streptophyta; Magnoliopsida; Poales; Poaceae.